This 253-nucleotide ribosomal RNA is filed under the name uncultured bacterium. RNAcentral describes it as "partial 16S ribosomal RNA". It matches the Rfam family "Bacterial small subunit ribosomal RNA", at positions 524 to 776 of the family's 1533-position model. The record is from RNAcentral.
UACAGAGGCCCCAAGCGUUGUUCGGAUUCACUGGGCGUAAAGGGUGCGUAGGUGGUAAGGUAAGUCGGAUGUGAAAUCUCCAGGCUCAACCUGGAAAUGGCAUCGGAAACUACCUUGCUCGAGGUUUGGAGGGGGGACUGGAAUACUUGGUGUAGCAGUGAAAUGCGUAGAUAUCAAGUGGAACACCAGUGGCGAAGGCGAGUCCCUGGACAACACCUGACACUGAGGCACGAAAGCUAGGGGAGCAAACAGG